RNAcentral lists this ribosomal RNA (460 nucleotides) under uncultured bacterium. Its description in RNAcentral is "partial 16S ribosomal RNA". It matches the Rfam family "Bacterial small subunit ribosomal RNA", at positions 338 to 795 of the family's 1533-position model. The record is from RNAcentral.
CCUACGCGUGGCAGCAGUGAGGAAUAUUGGUCACUGGACGCAAGCCUGAACCAGCCAUGCAGCGUGCAGGAUGACGGCUCUACGAGUUGUAAACUGCUUUUGUACGGGGGUAAAUUCUGACACUUGUAACUGGUUGAAAUUACUUUACGAAUAAGGAUCGGCUAACUCCGUUCCAGCAGCCGCGGUAAUACGGAGGAUCCAAUCGUUAUCCGGAUUUAUUGGGUUUAAAGGGUGCGUAGGUGGUUUGGUAAGUUAGAUGUGAAAUUCAGAGGCUCAACUCAGGAACUGCAUUCGAUACUGUCGGGCUAGAGUUUAGUUGAGGUAGGCGGAAUUUGUGGUGUAGCGGUGAAAUGCAUAGAGAUCAUACAGAACACCGAUUGCGAAGGCAGCCUACUAAACUACGACUGACGUUGAGGCACGAAAGCGUGGGGAUCAAACAGGAUUAGAUACCCCAGUAGUC